RNAcentral lists this non-coding RNA (29 nucleotides) under Rattus norvegicus (Norway rat). Lineage: Eukaryota; Metazoa; Chordata; Mammalia; Rodentia; Muridae. The record is from RNAcentral.
UGUUUAAAAGGUACUAUGUUGGGUUAUGA